Molecule: ribosomal RNA, 585 nt
Filed under: Triticum aestivum (bread wheat)
Lineage: Eukaryota; Viridiplantae; Streptophyta; Magnoliopsida; Poales; Poaceae
Description: partial small subunit ribosomal RNA
Source: RNAcentral
AUGGGAGUGUUACCUUCACUUCUGAUCGUGUACUCCGGCGUGCUAGAUGGGGUCGAGGCACCGUGUGCUUCCAGUACGGUGCUCAUUGAUUUCGAUGAGGUCGCCAUCUACAGCACCAUCACCAAAGCUCUCCUCCGAGCCUUUAUUUGCUCCUUUUUCUCGUCAAGGUCCAUCGAGGAUGGUUGGCACACAGUAGUGAUAUCACCGAGAGGUCCAUAUAAUUAUGAUGUCUUGGAGGGUAUGACGUUCGGCAAUAUUUCUGAAUCCUUCAAUGCUGACUUUGAGGAUGGUACAAUCGGGGAGGUAUGGAUCUUUGAGAGUAUCCUUCUGGGUGAAUAUGGAGAAGUAAUGAAUAUCCAAGUACUUGCUGUGGCUGAAAGGAGUCGCCCAUGGGAACUCCUAUGUCGCUGUCGUGGUUCCGCGGCGGCGGCGUUGUCCAGUGGUUCCGUGGCGGCGGUGCUGUCGAGUGGUUCCGCGACGGCGGCGCUGUGGACUGUGCAGAUCCAGAUGGAGUCGGGCGGCGAGAUCCAGAUGGACUCAGGCGGAGAUCCAGAUGGACUCAGGCGGCGAGAUCUGGUGCGGGGU